RNAcentral lists this non-coding RNA (141 nucleotides) under Salmo salar (Atlantic salmon). RNAcentral describes it as "Eukaryotic large subunit ribosomal RNA". It matches the Rfam family "Eukaryotic large subunit ribosomal RNA", at positions 2842 to 2984 of the family's 3401-position model. Lineage: Eukaryota; Metazoa; Chordata; Actinopteri; Salmoniformes; Salmonidae. The record is from Rfam by way of RNAcentral.
GGCCUAGUGUUUUUUUCACAAGUCAUUUGAUCCUUCGAUGUCGACUCUUCCUAUCAUUGUGAAGCAGAAUUCACCAAGCGUUGGAUUGUUCACCCACUAAUAGGGAACGUGAUCUGGGUUUAGACCGUCGUGAGACAGGUU